AUAUACAUUCACAUUCCUAUAGAAAGAACUCGGUUGCCAACGGCACCACCAGGAUGGAAACGAUGCUUUUUGACAUAAAGGAGUUCGGUGUACGACACCUUAAGAUUGUGUUGAAGAGUAAAAGAGUAUUUUGGUCUCUCUGAGAUUGCAAUACCGAACGGUGAGAGAUCGGAGGGACCAGAAGGAAAUCUCAGAUCUAGUUUCUUAUUUAUUUUUCUCCCCUUGUGAUCUCCAGCAUUCUCGAAGUUCAUGUGCCUAAGUAAUCAUUCCUGAC
This 274-nucleotide long non-coding RNA is filed under the name Elaeis guineensis (African oil palm). Its description in RNAcentral is "long non-coding RNA (EGUI_LNC023921)". The record is from RNAcentral. Lineage: Eukaryota; Viridiplantae; Streptophyta; Magnoliopsida; Arecales; Arecaceae.